AAUAUUGGACAAUGGGGGCAACCCUGAUCCAGCCAUGCCGCGUGUUUGAAGAAGGUCUUCGGCUUUUAAAUCACUUUAAGUUGGGAGGAAGGGCUUUAGGUUAAUACCCUGAAGUUUUGACGUUACCAACAGACUAAGCACCGGCUAACCCUUUCCCAUCAGCCGCGGUAAUACAGAGGGUGCAAGCGUUAAUCGGAAUUUCUGGGCGUAAAGCGCGCGUAGGUGGUUCAGUAAGAUGGGUGUGAAAUCCCCGGGCUUAACCUGGGAACUGCUUUCAUAACUGCUGAGCUAGAGUACGGUAGAGGGUAGUGGAAUUUCCUGCGUAGCGGUGAAAUGCGUAGAUAUAGGAAGGAACACCAGUGGCGAAGGCGACUACCUGGACUGAUACUGACACUGAGGUGCGAAAGCGUGGGGAGCAAAC
RNAcentral lists this ribosomal RNA (421 nucleotides) under uncultured bacterium. RNAcentral describes it as "partial 16S ribosomal RNA". It matches the Rfam family "Bacterial small subunit ribosomal RNA", at positions 360 to 773 of the family's 1533-position model. The record is from RNAcentral.